RNAcentral lists this ribosomal RNA (420 nucleotides) under bacterium. RNAcentral's name for it is "partial 16S ribosomal RNA". It matches the Rfam family "Bacterial small subunit ribosomal RNA", at positions 355 to 776 of the family's 1533-position model. The record is from RNAcentral.
UGGGGGAUAUUGCACAAUGGGCGAAAGCCUGAUGCAGCGACGCCGCGUGGGGGAUGAAGGCUUUCGGGUUGUAAACCUCUUUCGCUAUCGAACAAGGCCCGCUUAGGGUGGGUUGAGGGUAGGUGGAGAAGAAGCGCCGGCUAACUACGUGCCAGCAGCCGCGGUAAUACGUAGGGCGCGAGCGUUGUCCGGAAUUAUUGGGCGUAAAGGGCCUGUAGGCGGCUUGUUGCGCCUGCUGUGAAAACGCGGGGCUUAACUUCGCGCGUGCAGUGGGUACGGGCAGGCUUGAGUGUGGUAGGGGUGACUGGAAUUCCAGGUGUAGCGGAGGAAUGCGCAGAUAUCUGGAGGAACACCGAUGGCGAAGGCAGGUCACUGGGCCAUUACUGACGCUGAGGAGCGAAAGCAUGGGUAGCGAACAGG